CUCCCUCCGCGGGACUUUCGCUUUCCUUUUCCGCGGUGCGCGCCGCUGUCGGGAACCGUGCGCGCUCAAGGCCGUGGAGAGGGGUGGGGGCUUCCAUUUGGGGGUCCCAGCACCCCAAAUCCCGGAUUGAGGGUCCCAGCCUGGGAGAAGCCGGCUUCCAAUUCCCCCUGCAGCGCGUUCCGCAGGUCAACUCCUCGCACCUUGGCCGGCCAGAGGAGAGAUCCAGCCCGGAGGGCGCGGCUCUUUCCGGGGAUCGGGGCCCUGGGCGCUGCGAAGCAGGCAGGGUCGGGGAUCGACUGAGCGCCGGAUCCACCCCCACCGAGUGAUGUCCGGGGGAUGGGGAGACCAGAGGAAGGCAGAGAAGCCCCCCCGACAAGUAUCCCGUAGCCAGGGGCACCCUCUGUGUUCGCAGCGCCGGGAGCAAGGUGAGGCAGAGAGCAGAGGUGGUUCACCGUCAAAGCGAACAUCGAGUCGGGCAGAGAAAGGCUCUCUGGACUUAGAGCCGCAGCCUUCGAAAUCGAACAGCCGCUAUUAUUCACCAAUGGGAGGAACCUCAAGCCAGACAAAAAACAACCCUCCACAGUCAGAGAUGCAGGGGCACUGGGAGCGAGGUGAGGCAGAGAGCAGAGGUGGUUCACAGUCAAAGCGAACAUCGAGUUGGGCAGAAAAAGGCUCUCUGGACUCAGAGCCACAGCCUUCGAAAUUGAACAGCCACUAUUAUUCACCAAUGGGAGGAACCUCAAGCCAGACAAAAACCAACCCUCCACAGUCAGAGAUGCAGGGGCACCCUCUGUGUUCGCAAGGUGAGGCAGAGAGCAGAAGUGGUUCACCGUCAAAGCGAACAUCGAGUCGGGCAGAGAAAGGCUCUCUGGACUCAGAGCCGCAGCCUUCGAAAUCGAACAGCCGCUAUUAUUCACCAAUGGGAGGAACCUCAAGCCAGACGAAAACCAGCCCUCCACAGUCAGAGGUGCAGCGCCGGGAGCAAGGUCAGGCAGAGAGCAGAGGUGGUUCACCGUCAAAGCGAACAUCGAGUCGGGCAGAAAAAGACUCUCUGGACUCAGAGCCACAGGACCAGGUUCAAGAGACGGCAGAGAGUGGAAGUUGCACCACGGCAAACGGAGCAUCAAGUCAGACAGAGGCGGGCUCUCUGGAGUCACAGCUGCAGACUUUGAGGGGUUCCUUGCACCCCUUGGCCUCCCAAUUCCUCCAGGCCCAGGAGGUGGUUGUCCGAAUCGCUGCCCAGCUGUUGGCCAACGAUCAGCCCCUGAGAAGCAGCCUGCCAGCCGCAAAGCCCAACCUGCUGGAAGCCAUCCAGCGGCUCCGUCAGCAGCUGAGCGAGCAAGAGGAGCUCGUUUUCCAGCUGCAGGAGAGAAAUCGGCAGCUUCAGAGCAUCCAGGAACAGCAAACAGCCCACAGGCUGGAAGAGAACCGGCAGCUGCAGGAGCAGAAAGAGGAAGUGUCCCGUCUGCUGAAGGAGAAGCAUCAAGUCCAGGAGAAGUUGGAGGACCAGGAAAAACUGGUGUCCGAGCUACUGGGAAAGAAUGGGGAGCUCCUGCAGGAGCUGGAGGAGAAGGACAUCCGAGUGUCACACCUGGUGCAAGAGAACGACUGGCUCCGUCAAGAGAAUGCGAGACUCCAGAGGAGCCCCGGAUCCCAGAGAUGGACUUCUUCCUCCUGGCCCAGUUCUGCUCCCGCACUCACAGCCUUCCCCGUGGAGGUCUGGACCACUGGGCAGACGGGAGGCUGCGAGAAGGACAUUGUCAACGACGUCUCCAAGUUCCUGGUGGGCCUCGGGAUCUCCCUCCAGCAGGAGGCUUAUGAAGAGAAGUCUGGCCGCUUCCUCCUCCUCUUCUGCCCUGUCUCCUCCCGCGUGGGCAGCGACACACUCUGUGCCCUGGCGGCGCUGAACAGAGUGCGAAAAGCCGUCUUGGUCGUCCUUCACCACAAGCCGAAGGGCAGCACCCAAGAGAUCUUGGACACCCAGCGGCAGGUCCAGCACGAAGCCCUGGUGCGCACGGUGCAUGCCUGCUACAGCAUCCAGGAUGGAUUCUACCCCUGCGAGAUGAACGAGGCCGCCGUGGCGUCCGUGGCAAAGGCUAUCCAGGAGCAGAGGAGCAGCUGAGCCACAGAUCCGGCACUCCGACUUCUGUAGGGUGGUUGAUUGCAGUGGGCAUGCAAAAUCGAGUUUUCGGGGAAUGAGGGUGCUCACGUUUUUCGGACAGACCUGGCCUGGCUUGCUACCUCCAGGCUGCCUCCACUCACCCUGGGAUGUCAUGAUAACGGGUGCAGAGCUCUCGGAAGAAGGUGUCUUGUCAGAGUCAGAGCCUCGGGUCCAUCUAAGUCUACACUGUCUACACAGGCUGGCAGGGUUCUCUCCCCGCCUUACCUGGAAAUGCCAGUGGAGAGUUUACCUUGAACCUUCUGCAGUCCAAGCAGGUGUCCUAGCACUGGGCUAUAGCUCUUCCCUCUCGGCACAGGGCUGGCUGCCUUCAGCCGGGGAGAACGUCACCUUGCAAGUUUCCAAAACCCACCGGCCCACUUCCAGCCGUGAUGGUACCUGGAGGGAGCUAAAAGCCAGUCUUUUUGCAGGAACUCUGCCUUACAAAACCACGUUGCUGGAACAGCUCUUGAAUCUGGUUGCUCCAGGAGAGAAGUGCAAAGUUUUAAAUUUUGAAAUCAGGGUUUUUUAGAAUUGCAAUUGGGGUUCAAGUGCCAAGGGGGUUGGUUGAGAAAUUUGGGUCACCCGUGUUCCCUCCCAGACAUCCAAAAUCUGCAGCCGACUUGCAAAUGUCCGACCAUGUGCAUAUGUGCUUUUCACACAAGGAGCACAUGCAACUGUGUGAAGGUUGUCACGGUUGCUAAACGUGCUGCUGCGCUGACGACGGAGACCUGAGCACCCUAUCUAGGCUUCUGCUAGUAUGUGUUUGCAUGGCUGGAUUUGUAUUGGUGAUGGGGGUCUUUUCGGCUUACUAAACCUCUAAGAGGAAGGUGUAAAAUUAGAGCUACACUUCAGGGGUGGUGUUGGGGUAGAGAAGGCAAAUUCGGGUCUGAUCCUACACCUGUAUUAGCAACUGUUGUGUCCCCAAUAUGAAAUAUGGAAAUAAAGCUAAUAAAUUGGGCUACUGAGCCACUGACUGCAUUUUUGUUCCCUACAAAAUCCAGCCUGUGAACGACCCUUUUUAUCACAGACCUGAGAGAUGGGCCUAUGGGUGCUGCGAAUUUGUAUUGUCAGCAAUGCGUUCUAAAAUAAUUUUCAGAACUGCGAGUGACUUUUCAGCCUGAGGAAGAGCAAAUACGGACACGCCAUACAUUUAAAGCAUAUUUUCCCUCCGUGGAAUCUAGUGGGGGCAAAUGCGCUUUAUAGUUAUGGCAUGUUUGCAGGCAGAGACCGUGAAAUAUUAUUUAGUGAACCUUGUUGUUUGUCUCUAUACAGUGGUACCUUGGUUCUCUAACGCCUUGGUACUCAAACAACUUUGAACCCAAACACUGCAAACCUGGAAGUAAGUGUUCCGGUUUGUGAACUUCUUUCGGAAGCCGAACGUGCUCCAUUUUAAGUGUUACGGAUCCGAUUUGAGUGCCACGCUUCCGUUUUGAGUGUUACGCUGAGGUCUGUCUGUUUUUGCUAUUUAUUUCGCAUUUUUGUUUUUGCGGCUCUUAUUUUUUUGUGACUGUGUGGAACCCAGUUCAGCUACUGACUGAUUGUGUGACUGCAGUACAUUGUUUAUUGCUUUCAUUUUAUGAAUCAAUGGUCUUGUUGGAUAGUAAAAUUCAUGUUCAAUUGCUGCUUUAGGGGUUGUUUUUAAAAGUCUGGAACGGAUUAAUCCGUUUUGCAUUCCUUUCUAUGGGAAAGCGUGCCUUGGUUUUGGAACGGACUUCUGGAACGGAUUAAGUUUGAGAACCAAGGUACCACUGUAUAUUAAAAGUGUGUUAAGGGCCAAGCUACAAAGGCAGGCACAUUUUGCAAGGUAGUAAUACACCUUCUAGGGAUGCGGGUGGCGCUGUGGGUUAAACCACAGAGCCUAGGACUUGCCGAUCAGAAGGUCGGCGGUUCGAAUCCCCGCGACGGGGUGAACUCCCAUUGCUCAGGCCCUGCUCCUGCCAACCUAGCAGUUCGAAAGCACCUCAAAGUGCAAGUAGAUAAAUAGGUACACCAGAAGCGGCUUAGUCCUGCUGGCCACAUGACCUGGAAGCUGUACGCCGGCUCCCUCGGCCAGUAAAGUGAGAUGAGUGCCGCAAGCCCAGAGUCGGCCACGACUGGACCUAAUGAUCAGGGGUCCCUUUACCUUUAAUACACCUGCUCAUUAAGUACACAAGCGCCAAGGGCCCAACUCGCAUGCCUGCAGUUACUGCUUAAUGACUGAAACAGAGAUUCAUAAAACUGUAGACUUGGAAGGGACCCUCAGCGGUCAUCUAUCCCAACCCUCCGCAAUGCAAGAAUCGCAGCUAAUGAACCCCCGGCAGUCGGCCACCGGACCUCUGUUUAAAAACCUCCAGGGGAGGAACAUCCACUUUCAGAGGGAGUCCAAUGGCUCUUAAGUCUCAGAAAGUUCUUCCUAAGGUUUCUCCUCUAGAAAACCAAACCUAGAGGAAACACACACACAGCACCAAUACGUCCCAGAGCGUUGGGCCUAAUAUAAUCUUUUAUUUCGGGUUCGGAUCGGCAAAGACCCAGCAGCAAAAACAGGGCAGGCGGUACAGUGUAAACUACUAAGACAGACGGACAGCGCUUGGCGGGCGAAGGUCCUCUG
Molecule: long non-coding RNA, 4748 nt
Organism: Podarcis muralis (Common wall lizard)
Lineage: Eukaryota; Metazoa; Chordata; Lepidosauria; Squamata; Lacertidae
Source: Ensembl